Molecule: ribosomal RNA, 402 nt
Filed under: uncultured bacterium
Lineage: Bacteria
Description: bacterial SSU rRNA
Rfam family: Bacterial small subunit ribosomal RNA
Source: RNAcentral
UUGAACGCUGGCGGCAUGCCUUACACAUGCAAGUCGAACGGCAGCACGGGAGCAAUCCUGGUGGCGAGUGGCGAACGGGUGAGUAAUAUAUCGGAACGUGCCCAGUAAUGGGGGAUAGCCCGGCGAAAGCCGGAUUAAUACCGCAUACGACCUACGGGUGAAAGCGGGGGAUCGCAAGACCUCGCGUUAUUGGAGCGGCCGAUAUCAGAUUAGCUUGUUGGCGGGGUAAAAGCCCACCAAGGCGACGAUCUGUAGCUGGUCUGAGAGGACGACCAGCCACACUGGGACUGAGACACGGCCCAGACUCCUACGGGAGGCAGCAGUGGGGAAUUUUGGACAAUGGGCGCAAGCCUGAUCCAGCCAUGCCGCGUGUGGGAAGAAGGCCUUCGGGUUGUAAACCAC